CUCCACAAUCAAAAGAUCCUAUGAGAAUGGACACAGUUUGAUCAUGGUGUCCAGAAUUGAUAAAUGUGGCUAAAUUGAGACACGGGUUAGGCUUCUAUCACAGUAAAAUUUAUUGCAGUGGUGACAAUGAGACAGGUAAUACUU
This 144-nucleotide small nucleolar RNA is filed under the name Dasypus novemcinctus (nine-banded armadillo). RNAcentral describes it as "Small nucleolar RNA SNORA1 (ENSDNOG00000040935.1)". It matches the Rfam family "Small nucleolar RNA SNORA1". From Rfam's summary of the family: ACA1 is a member of the H/ACA class of snoRNA that guide the sites of modification of uridines to pseudouridines. Lineage: Eukaryota; Metazoa; Chordata; Mammalia; Cingulata; Dasypodidae. The record is from RNAcentral.